This 405-nucleotide long non-coding RNA is filed under the name Coffea arabica (coffee). Its description in RNAcentral is "long non-coding RNA (CARA_LNC003128)". The record is from RNAcentral. Lineage: Eukaryota; Viridiplantae; Streptophyta; Magnoliopsida; Gentianales; Rubiaceae.
ACCGCCAUCACCCUCUGUCUCCUCAUUCUCUCUCCUCUAUCUCCCUCUUUCUCCCCCUUAUUCCUCCUUGCUCCUUGCUCUUCCUCCCUUCCCUUCCUUCCACCUCCUCCUCACUCUUCCUCUCCCUUGCAUCUUUCUUGCUACUAAAGCUCCUCCCCUUCCCUUACCUUUUCUGAUUGCGACCAAAGCCCUUUUAGUCGCAACCAAAUUUGACCUCUCUUUGGUUGAGACCAUUGCGACUAGAAGGAUGACGGAGGAGAAGGGGAUCUAGUCGGGAAAGGGAAGGGAUGGAACGGGAGAAGAGGAGGAAAAAAAGGAAAGGAAGGGGAGGAAGAAAGAGAGAAAGGAUAAGAGAGAGGGAAGAGAAAGGAGGUGGCCAUGGUGGUAGGUGUUGGUAGAUGGUGA